UAGUAUAAUUUUGAUUUGAAAUUUAAUAAAUCUGGCGGUUUUUAAAUCUUUUUAGAGGAACCUGUAAUUUAAAUGAUAAUCCACGAUUUUUUUUACCUUUAUUUUCUUGUAUAUCUCUGUCGUUGAAUAUAGUGAAAACUUAUUUUCUUUUUUUUUAUUUAAUUUAUGUUAGGUCAAGGUGCAGUUAUAUUUAGGUUAUUAUGGGUUACUUUAAUUUUUGUUUGUGGAUUUUUUUUUUUGUUAAAUUUGAAUUUGGAUUUAAAAGUAAUAUUUUUUUUUAA
This 281-nucleotide ribosomal RNA is filed under the name Mycterodus goricus. Its description in RNAcentral is "partial small subunit ribosomal RNA". The record is from RNAcentral. Lineage: Eukaryota; Metazoa; Arthropoda; Insecta; Hemiptera; Issidae.